GAGAACUGGAGAGAGGAAGCGCAA
RNAcentral lists this non-coding RNA (24 nucleotides) under Cricetulus griseus (Chinese hamster). Lineage: Eukaryota; Metazoa; Chordata; Mammalia; Rodentia; Cricetidae. RNAcentral also lists the same sequence under 1 other name. The record is from RNAcentral.